This 300-nucleotide ribosomal RNA is filed under the name uncultured Gammaproteobacteria bacterium. RNAcentral's name for it is "bacterial SSU rRNA". It matches the Rfam family "Bacterial small subunit ribosomal RNA", at positions 114 to 401 of the family's 1533-position model. The record is from RNAcentral. Lineage: Bacteria; Pseudomonadati; Pseudomonadota; Gammaproteobacteria.
UGCUUGGGUAUCUGCCCUGUUGUGGGGAGUAACAAGCUGGAAACGGACGUGCUAAUAACCGCCAUAAUAAUCUACGGAGUCAAAGGUAGGCCUCCUUCUUUGAAAGACUAUCGCGAUAGGAUGAACCCAACGUGGGAUUAGCUUGUUGGUGAGGUAACGGCUCACCAAGGCGACGAUCCCUACGCUGGUCUGAGAGGAUGAUCAGCCACACUGGAACUGAGACACGGUCCAGACUCCUACGGGAGGCAGCAGUGGGGAAGUAUUGCACAAUGGGCGAAAGCCUGAUGCAGCCAUGCCGCG